This is a ribosomal RNA of Danio rerio (zebrafish), 135 nucleotides long. The record is from Ensembl. NCBI's taxonomy places the organism in Eukaryota, Metazoa, Chordata, Actinopteri, Cypriniformes, Danionidae.
UCCGGCAGCUAGCUUCAUGCCAGCAGAUAUAGCACUCUGCAACUUUCACAUGAUCGUUCACUAAAGCUAAGGAGGACUGCGUCAGGUCGGUACCUAGAUGGGAGACCACAUGGGAAAGCUAGGUUGCUGCCAGAA